GACGAACGCUGGCGGCGUGCUUAACACAUGCAAGUCGAACGAAAAGAGGGAAAGAGCUUGCUCUUUCCGGAAUUGAGUGGCAAACGGGUGAGUAACACGUAAACAACCUGCCUUCAGGAUGGGGACAACAGACGGAAACGACUGCUAAUACCGAAUAAGUUCCAAGGGCCGCAUGGCCCAUGGAAGAAAAGGUGGCCUCUACCUGUAAGCUAUCGCCUGAAGAGGGGUUUGCGUCUGAUUAGCUGGUUGGAGGGGUAACGGCCCACCAAGGCGACGAUCAGUAGCCGGUCUGAGAGGAUGAACGGCCACACUGGAACUGAGACACGGUCCAGACUCCUACGGGAGGCAGCAGUGGGGAAUCUUCCGCAAUGGGCGAAAGCCUGACGGAGCAACGCCGCGUGAGUGAUGACGGCCUUCGGGUUGUAAAACUCUGUGAUCCGGGACGAAAAGGCAGAGUGCGAAGAACAAA
This 469-nucleotide ribosomal RNA is filed under the name uncultured bacterium. RNAcentral describes it as "bacterial SSU rRNA". It matches the Rfam family "Bacterial small subunit ribosomal RNA", at positions 28 to 477 of the family's 1533-position model. The record is from RNAcentral.